This 151-nucleotide unclassified non-coding RNA is filed under the name uncultured fungus. Its description in RNAcentral is "sequence contains ITS1, 5.8S rRNA gene". Lineage: Eukaryota; Fungi. The record is from RNAcentral. RNAcentral also lists the same sequence under 1 other name.
CUGAGUGAGGGCCUCCGGCCCGACCUCCAACCCAUUGUGAAUCAAUACCUCGUUGCCUCGGGGCUCACCUCGGGCUCACGCCCCAGGGGCCCCGACGGACACCUUCCAAACUCUUGCGUCUUUGCGUCUGAGUCUUAUUGCAAAUUAGUAA